GAUGAACGCUGGCGGCGUGCCUAAUACAUGCAAGUCGAGCGAACAGACGAGGAGCUUGCUCCUCUGACGUUAGCGGCGGACGGGUGAGUAACACGUGGAUAACCUACCUAUAAGACUGGGAUAACUUCGGGAAACCGGAGCUAAUACCGGAUAAUAUAUUGAACCGCAUGGUUCAAUAGUGAAAGACGGUUUUGCUGUCACUUAUAGAUGGAUCCGCGCCGCAUUAGCUAGUUGGUAAGGUAACGGCUUACCAAGGCAACGAUGCGUAGCGGACCUGUGAGAGUGAUCGGCGACACAGGAGCUGAGAGACGGGCCAGACACCUAUGGGGGGCAACGCUAUGGAAUCUCUCGCGAUGUGGGAAAGCGUGUGAGGGAACAGCCCCGUGAGUGUUAAGGGUGUUUUGAGGUUGUAACUCUCUGAUUUGUGAAAAACAAAUGUGUAAGUAACUAUGUACGUAUCGACGCUACAUAUUCACAAAGGCACGGGUAAAUAUGCG
This 497-nucleotide ribosomal RNA is filed under the name uncultured bacterium. Its description in RNAcentral is "partial 16S ribosomal RNA". It matches the Rfam family "Bacterial small subunit ribosomal RNA", at positions 28 to 507 of the family's 1533-position model. The record is from RNAcentral.